RNAcentral lists this ribosomal RNA (312 nucleotides) under Brephosceles puffini. RNAcentral describes it as "partial 12S small subunit ribosomal RNA". The record is from RNAcentral. Lineage: Eukaryota; Metazoa; Arthropoda; Arachnida; Sarcoptiformes; Alloptidae.
CUUAAUUUUAUUGGCGGUUUACUAACCUUUCAUAGGAAUUUGUCUUAUUUGAUGGAUAACCCGCUUUUAUUAUUACCAAAUUUAUUUUUAUGUACGGCUGUUGAUUAAUUUUAAUUUAGAUAUUUUUAUUUUAAAUUUUUUAUCAUAUUUCAGGUCAAUGUGUAGAAUAUAGUUUGGUUUAAGAUGAGUUACUAUAUUAGUUUUUUCUUUUAUUUGAAAUUCAAUUAGGAUAUGGUAGUAAAAAAAUCAUAAAAUUUUUUUUUGAUUAAAGGACCUAGUAAAAGUACAUAUCGCCCGUCACUCUUUUGAUAG